Aegilops tauschii subsp. strangulata is the source of this 880-nucleotide RNA transcript. RefSeq lists it as uncharacterized. The record is from RefSeq and is a predicted model, not a curated record. Lineage: Eukaryota; Viridiplantae; Streptophyta; Magnoliopsida; Poales; Poaceae.
UUCUGACCUUCCCUGCAAGCCACUGCCGAUCGAUCGACAGCCCAAUCAGCACCAGCAUAAAUAUGCUCUCUGCCAUAGCCUCCUAAUCUCUUCUCUUAUCUACUUGUAGUACGUGUUCUUUCCCCUCCACCGCGGCCAGAGAAGGAGGAGCAUCGAUCCAUGGCGCGCUUCUUCGGCCGCCUGUGGGACAGAGCUCAAGGCAAGCUGGAUGUUGUGAGGAUAUGUGAGAAAAGGUGUUCGACGAACUGGCCGUCCUCAACGCCGAGAAGAACGCCAAGCUCCUGGACGUCAAAAAUCUCCACGUCGCCACCCUCAUGGUUUACAACUCCAUCAACAAGCAACUGGUGGGACCUCACAAGGACCCUCCAUGCAUGCAGGUCGUCAAGGAGAAAGCGGAGGGCUUCCGCGACAAGGGGAUAACGCAGCAGGAGUUCCGGGAGCUGAUCAUGGAGUGGGUGAGGAUGGACCUCCGCCUCGUCCUCGCCAACAAGGCCGCGGUGGCCGUCCUGGCGGCACCGCUGCUCGCCGUCACGGCCAAGAACGCCGGCAGGCAGGUGCCGAGGAUGAGGGACGCGGUGGAUAAGGUGCCCACGCCGCUGCUCUUCGUCGUCUUCUCCGCCGGGCUCAUGCUCCUGCAGGACAUCAGGGCAGGCAAGCAGUGAACACCUGAACCGGACGCGGUGAGCAAUGCGCGAUGUAUUUAAGAUGAGUGUGCACCUUUACUGGAAAUUUGUAUGCAGGCAGCUCGGUGUGAAAAAUUUGUAGCCAAAGAAAGUGGUAAAGGGCCGUACGUAAUGGCAUUCAAUCUUAAUAUGGUUAUCAGGCGGCUCCACAACUGAAUUUUUAGAAUUUCAGUGUUCGUGCAUUUGAAGGGCGGGUG